Cavia aperea (Brazilian guinea pig) is the source of this 115-nucleotide small nucleolar RNA. Ensembl annotates it as small nucleolar RNA, H/ACA box 78. Lineage: Eukaryota; Metazoa; Chordata; Mammalia; Rodentia; Caviidae. The record is from Ensembl.
GUUUGCUAAAAAUCACACCCAGCUUUGGCCGUAGUCGCAGAUGAGAUUCGGCACCCAGAACGUCCAGGGUCCUACACUGCCGGUUUGGGAGGGUGAAACCCAGGCCCUGACAUCC